UACGUAGGGUGCAAGCGUUGUCCGGAAUUAUUGGGCGUAAAGAGCUCGUAGGCGGUCUGUCGCGUCGAAUGUGAAAACCCGGGGCUCAACCCCGGGCCUGCAUUCGAUACGGGCAGACUAGAGUUCGGUAGGGGAGUCUGGAAUUCCUGGUGUAGCGGUGAAAUGCGCAGAUAUCAGGAGGAACACCGGUGGCGAAGGCGGGUCUCUGGGCCGAAACUGACGCUGAGGAGCGAAAGCGUGGGGAGCGAACAGG
RNAcentral lists this ribosomal RNA (253 nucleotides) under uncultured bacterium. RNAcentral's name for it is "partial 16S ribosomal RNA". It matches the Rfam family "Bacterial small subunit ribosomal RNA", at positions 524 to 776 of the family's 1533-position model. The record is from RNAcentral.